GCCACACUCAAUUUCAUGCUACCUGGCUCUCCUCCCUCCUGUCACAUGUGAGAUCAAGGCCAUUAUGACUGCGCAUGGUUUUGCUUGUGAGUUUUUCCUUCCCCUCCCCUCUUCUGCCUGGUAAACUCCUCAUCCUCUGAUACCCCACUCAGAGUGGAUUAUCUUCCUCCCUGGGAGCCUUCCCUGACUCCCAUCCUUUGCCGGGUGUUCUUCUGGACCCCAGAACAAGAGAGACAAAGUCCCUAUUGUCAUGGAAUGCUCGUCCUAGAUCACCACUGUCCAAUGGAAACCGACUGAAAGUCACAGAUGCAAGCGCCAUGUGGAACUGCAAAUCUUCAAGUAGACACACAGACAAAG
RNAcentral lists this long non-coding RNA (357 nucleotides) under Mustela putorius furo (domestic ferret). Its description in RNAcentral is "lncRNA (ENSMPUG00000026398.1)". Lineage: Eukaryota; Metazoa; Chordata; Mammalia; Carnivora; Mustelidae. The record is from RNAcentral.